UAUAUAUAUAUAUAUAUAUAUAUAUAUAUCUCUCACGUGUGAACCAUGGCGCCUCCACAUCCAGCCCAUUUUUCUGUAUCAUCUGACUCCGUUGCCACCGCAACCUUCACGAAAAACACUCCUCACAUCCGCCUCUACAAACCCAUAAAAGAUCCGAUCCGAUUAACCAUAUGAUAGCUCAAAUUUUCAGUUGAAAAAACAUCCCAAAAAUUACCCUGUUGAUGCAGGACUUUCUCAGUUCAGUCCGACCAUCUCCAACCACCUUUGGCUAGGGUGCCUUCAUGAAAAAGUUUCCCCAACCUCUCUUCUAUCUUUUCCCCCAAAGAUUCGGCCCUAUACCUUGUGGGAAAACCCAAACUAAUGUCAGAGAAAUCAAUGGUUUUCUCAUCAGAAAACCUUAAAAUUCAGCCACCUCUAGUCACUUUUGGCCGUCAACUCAGGUAUAAAGAAAACCUUAAACCCAACCCGAUUAUCAUUGCAAUGUUGAUUAUGCUAGAAAUGUAAGUUUGGAAAUCUUAGGUAGAGAGAAAGAGAUGAGAGAGAGAGAGAGAGAGAGAGAGAGAGAGAGAGAGAGAGAGAGAGAGAGAGGUGUGGAGAGGAGGAGGAGAGAUAGACAUACGGAACAGGGAGGAGAGAUAGAC
This 641-nucleotide long non-coding RNA is filed under the name Prunus dulcis (almond). RNAcentral describes it as "sRNA ncRNA". Lineage: Eukaryota; Viridiplantae; Streptophyta; Magnoliopsida; Rosales; Rosaceae. The record is from RNAcentral.